CUGACGUUUUUAGCAAUAUGCUGACUAAUAUCAUUCUCUGCUUUUCAAUGGUGUACAUGACUUUCUAUAUUGUGGAAUUUUUAGGAAUGUCAGGCACUCUUGCCUUAGCCGCUGUAGGACUGAAUUUAGAUUCUUUAACUUUUAAACCGAAGAUCGAACUUGUAAUUACUAAGUUCUUAAGAAUUUUUUCAUCUGUAUAUGAACAUUUAAUAUAUGCUUUCUUUGGCAUUGUGAUUGGAUGUGGAGAACUCAGCCACUAUGAAUUUCACACUAUACCUUUCAUAUUCAUUUUAUUUACAACAGUGAAUUUGGUAAGGUUGCUUACUAUUUUGUUAGUGAGCCCUAUUUUGAUGCAUUCAAAUUAUGAAUAUAAUUGGCGAUGGGGAGUUGUAAUCACGUGGUCUGGAAUUAAAGGAGUUUUUAAUUUACUCUGGGCUCCUGAUGUUUAUAAUCUCGCUGAACGAAAAGUGGAAGUACCACAAAUGUUUAUACUCUAUGUACAAGUAAUAUCAUUAUUGACAAUGGGAAUAAAUUCAUACGUGAUGACUCAGUCAGCCAGGAAGUUAGAUUUGUGUGUUCUUUCCCUCCCAAGACAAAUGAUCUUGCAAAAUGCCACUCAGCACAUACAGGAGAUAGUACAGAACACAAUAACUUUAUUUAAAACAGAAAAAAUUUUGACAAAUGUUAACUGGACCUUAGUAGAAGAUAAAACGAGGAUCGAAUACAUUCCUUUUUCCCACGUUUCACAUAAUGAUAUGAAGACAGAAUCCACAACAGAUGAAGCUUUAAUGGAGGAAGCCAGAUUGCAUGUAGCUGCAAUACAAAUGAGUAGCUUUGAAAAACAGCGUAACAAUGGAAUUCUUGAAAUAGAGGCAGCCCGGAUAUUAAUUGGUGCAGCAAAAUGCUAUUAUUCAUGAGUAUUUAUGAUGUUUCAACUUAUAUGAGAACUAGAAGUUGGCUUAUAAAGUUUAAAAAUGUUUUAACUUUCUUGGAAUAUUGUAUAGAAAAGAUACAUUUUAUUCCACCUGAUUAUGUUUUUAUAUGUAUUAGAAUCAACAUUGAAGAUAAUAAUUUUGAAAAGGAAAUAUUUUCAACAAUGUUGGAAUACUUUGGAAUUUUUUAUCCUGGUUAUUGGAAUCAUUGAUAUCUUUUGUGUAUACUUUGUGAAAUUGAGACCAGACAACUUGGCUCUUAUACAGCUUACAGUAAUAAUGGGAUAUUUAAGAAUAAUUAGGUUUCUUCCUCUCUUCAAGAUAAUAGUACCAAUACUGAUAAGAAUUGCAGAUGUGCAGAUCAAAAAGCGCCUCAGCUUGAUGUAUAGUAUUACAAAAGGCUAUAUCAAAAGUCAAGAAGAUGCCAAACUUCUAAUAAAACAAAUAGCUGUCUGUGAAUCAAUAUAUCAGGCUGGCUUCCCAACUAGCUGCUCACUUGGCUCACUGCCAAAUGAGGCGCUAUGAGAAUUCUCCUUGGUGCACAGUGGAGUACAUACUGAUCUUUUCUGAUAACUAUUAGGCAAGGUAGUUAUGCAAGCUACUGACUGUACUAGACUCAUUGAGAUUGACGUCUGAGCAUGGGCAAAGCAGCAGAAUUGACCCAGAGGGAAGAAAUGAGCCAAUAGCUUUUCUAAAACUAGGUGAAAUGUCCUCUACCAUACUUCCUUUUCUCUGAAUUUAAAAGGAAAGCCAGGCUAGGUGUGGUGGCUUAUGCCUGUAAUCCCAGCACUUUGGGAGGCAGAAGUGAGUAGAUCACCUGAGGUCAGCAAGCUGCUGAUAAUCCAAGCAUCUGAGCUUACCCAAAGAAAUAGUAACACCAAUGUCAUGGAUUUGGUUAGCCUCAGUCAACACGGUCUUUGAACAACCAGGAAAGAAUAUAAAUGGAAGACAAAAGAUGAGUUGAAAACUGGAUACCAUUUUAGAAAAGGGUAUUAAUGAUACAAAUAUGAUGUGUGGAGUCAGGUUAAAGACCAAACUACUUUCCUCGCUCAAAUACUAAAGGAUUAUCUGCAAGGAGUUUACUUAGAAGCUACUGAAACAGGUUACUGCUGCAUUUAGUUUAUAAGCAAUGGAUGGACUUCUGUAAAACUUCUUAAUUUUAAGUAGUUGCAUUAUAUUUGGGAUGUUAAAAAAGUCUUCAGGAUAAUAUAAAAUACACUGAAACAUAUGUCCUACCAAAUGAAACCCUGUUUCCAGCUAAGAGCAAAUUUUAACAUAGUGCAUUAUAAAAAGUGUUGUAUAACUGAUAUGUUACUCUCUAAAGCAUAGAACCUGUAAUUUUCAUUUGUGAAAUUGUUAUAAUUAGUGCCUCCCUAAUAUUUUCCCGAGUAUAGCUAUUCUCCCCUUCCCAGUUUGGUAAAUAUUGAAAAACAGAAUUAUAUUCCACAAUCUUAGUAACUUUCAGUAAGUAAGUAACUUUUGCUUUCAGUGAAAUUUAGGAGAAAUUAAUAUUCUCAUAUUGCAUAGUACUGUUUGAUGUCACCUUUCAUUUUAUUUUUAAAAAUCAAAUAAAGUUGAGUUUUAUGGU
RNAcentral lists this long non-coding RNA (2520 nucleotides) under Homo sapiens (human). RNAcentral describes it as "non-protein coding lnc-ANKRD45-2:1". The record is from RNAcentral. Lineage: Eukaryota; Metazoa; Chordata; Mammalia; Primates; Hominidae.